This 1347-nucleotide ribosomal RNA is filed under the name uncultured bacterium. Its description in RNAcentral is "partial 16S ribosomal RNA". It matches the Rfam family "Bacterial small subunit ribosomal RNA", at positions 28 to 1381 of the family's 1533-position model. The record is from RNAcentral.
GACGAACGCUGGCGGCGUGCUUAACACAUGCAAGUCGAACGGAAAGGCCCUGCUUUUGUGGGGUGCUCGAGUGGCGAACGGGUGAGUAACACGUGAGUAACCUGCCCUUGACUUUGGGAUAACUUCAGGAAACUGGGGCUAAUACCGGAUAGGAGCUCCUGCUGCAUGGUGGGGGUUGGAAAGUUUCGGCGGUUGGGGAUGGACUCGCGGCUUAUCAGCUUGUUGGUGGGGUAGUGGCUUACCAAGGCUUUGACGGGUAGCCGGCCUGAGAGGGUGACCGGCCACAUUGGGACUGAGAUACGGCCCAGACUCCUACGGGAGGCAGCAGUGGGGAAUAUUGCACAAUGGGCGGAAGCCUGAUGCAGCAACGCCGCGUGCGGGAUGACGGCCUUCGGGUUGUAAACCGCUUUCGCCUGUGACGAAGCGUGAGUGACGGUAAUGGGUAAAGAAGCACCGGCUAACUACGUGCCAGCAGCCGCGGUGAUACGUAGGGUGCGAGCGUUGUCCGGAUUUAUUGGGCGUAAAGGGCUCGUAGGUGGUUGAUCGCGUCGGAAGUGUAAUCUUGGGGCUUAACCCUGAGCGUGCUUUCGAUACGGGUUGACUUGAGGAAGGUAGGGGAGAAUGGAAUUCCUGGUGGAGCGGUGGAAUGCGCAGAUAUCAGGAGGAACACCAGUGGCGAAGGCGGUUCUCUGGGCCUUUCCUGACGCUGAGGAGCGAAAGCGUGGGGAGCGAACAGGCUUAGAUACCCUGGUAGUCCACGCUGUAAACGGUGGGUACUAGGUGUGGGGUCCAUUCCACGGGUUCCGUGCCGUAGCUAACGCUUUAAGUACCCCGCCUGGGGAGUACGGCCGCAAGGCUAAAACUCAAAGGAAUUGACGGGGCCCCGCACAAGCGGCGGAGCAUGCGGAUUAAUUCGAUGCAACGCGUAGAACCUUACCUGGGUUUGACAUGGAUCGGGAGUGCUCAGAGAUGGGUGUGCCUCUUUUGGGGUCGGUUCACAGGUGGUGCAUGGCUGUCGUCAGCUCGUGUCGUGAGAUGUUGGGUUAAGUCCCGCAACGAGCGCAACCCUUGUUCACUGUUGCCAGCACGUUAUGGUGGGGACUCAGUGGAGACCGCCGGGGUCAACUCGGAGGAAGGUGGGGAUGACGUCAAGUCAUCAUGCCCCUUAUGUCCAGGGCUUCACGCAUGCUACAAUGGCUGGUACAGAGAGUGGCGAGCCUGUGAGGGUGAGCGAAUCUCGGAAAGUCGGUCUCAGUUCGGAUUGGGGUCUGCAACUCGACCUCAUGAAGUCGGAGUCGCUAGUAAUCGCAGAUCAGCAACGCUGCGGUGAAUACGUUCCCCGGGGCU